CAGCCAUACCGCGUGCGGGAAGAAGGCCUUCGGGUUGUAAACCGCUUUUGUCAGGGAAGAAAUACCUCGGGUUAAUACCCUGGGGUGAUGACGGUACCUGAAGAAUAAGCACCGGCUAACUACGUGCCAGCAGCCGCGGUAAUACGUAGGGUGCAAGCGUUAAUCGGAAUUACUGGGCGUAAAGCGUGCGCAGGCGGUUCUAUAAGACAGAUGUGAAAUCCCCGGGCUCAACCUGGGAACUGCAUUUGUGACUGUAGAGCUAGAGUACGGUAGAGGGGGAUGGAAUUCCGCGUGUAGCAGUGAAAUGCGUAGAUAUGCGGAGGAACACCGAUGGCGAAGGCAAUCCCCUGGACCUGUACUGACGCUCAUGCACGAAAGCGUGGGGAGCAAACAGGAUUAGAUACCCUGGUAGUCCACGCCCUAAACGAUGUCAACUGGUUGUUGGG
Molecule: ribosomal RNA, 446 nt
Filed under: bacterium 2.5
Lineage: Bacteria
Description: bacterial SSU rRNA
Rfam family: Bacterial small subunit ribosomal RNA
Source: RNAcentral